This 449-nucleotide ribosomal RNA is filed under the name uncultured bacterium. Its description in RNAcentral is "partial 16S ribosomal RNA". It matches the Rfam family "Bacterial small subunit ribosomal RNA", at positions 29 to 523 of the family's 1533-position model. The record is from RNAcentral.
AACGAACGCUGGCGGCAUGCCUAACACAUGCAAGUCGAACGAGACCUUCGGGUCUAGUGGCGCACGGGUGCGUAACGCGUGGGAACCUGCCCUUAGGUUCGGAAUAACUCAGAGAAAUUUGAGCUAAUACCGGAUAAUGUCUUCGGACCAAAGAUUUAUCGCCUUUGGAUGGGCCCGCGUAGGAUUAGCUUGUUGGUGGGGUAAUGGCCUACCAAGGCGACGAUCCUUAGCUGGUCUGAGAGGAUGAUCAGCCACACUGGGACUGAGACACGGCCCAGACUCCUACGGGAGGCAGCAGUGGGGAAUAUUGGACAAUGGGCGAAAGCCUGAUCCAGCAAUGCCGCGUGAGUGAUGAAGGCCUUAGGGUUGUAAAGCUCUUUUACCCGGGAUGAUAAUGACAGUACCGGGAGAAUAAGCUCCGGCUAACUCCGUGCCAGCAGCCGCCGUAA